GGGCGUAAGCGUGCGUAGGUGGUUGUUUAAGUCUGUUGUGAAAGCCCUGGGCUCAACCUGGGAAUUGCAGUGGAUACUGGGCGACUAGAGUGUGGUAGAGGGUAGUGGAAUUCCCGGUGUAGCAGUGAAAUGCGUAGAGAUCGGGAGGAACAUCCAUGGCGAAGGCAGCUACCUGGACCAACACUGACACUGAGGCACGAAAGCGUGGGGAGCAAACAGGAUUAGAUAUCCUGGUAGUCCACGCCCUAAACGAUGCGAACUGGAUGUUGGGUGCAAUUUGGCACGCAGUAUCGAAGCUAACGCGUUAAGUUCGCCGCCUGGGGAGUACGGUCGCAAGACUGAAACUCAAAGGAAUUGACGGGGGCCCGCACAAGCGGUGGAGUAUGUGGUUUAAUUCGAUGCAACGCGAAGAACCUUACCUGGUCUUGACAUGUCGAGAACUUUCCAGAGAUGGAUUGGUGCCUUCGGA
This 469-nucleotide ribosomal RNA is filed under the name uncultured bacterium. RNAcentral describes it as "bacterial SSU rRNA". It matches the Rfam family "Bacterial small subunit ribosomal RNA", at positions 556 to 1024 of the family's 1533-position model. The record is from RNAcentral.